Molecule: long non-coding RNA, 788 nt
Organism: Thamnophis elegans (Western terrestrial garter snake)
Lineage: Eukaryota; Metazoa; Chordata; Lepidosauria; Squamata; Natricidae
Exons: 3
Source: RefSeq, a predicted model, not a curated record
CCGAUUACCUUACCGAUCGAUUAACUCGCUGCGACCGGAUGGGUGGAAAAUCGCACGAAAUGCCCCAAAGAAAACGUGGAUAUCCCAAGCGGCUCACGAUCUCCAACCACUCCAUUUUUCAAUAACCGAUGCCCAACAAGCCGCCCUAAAUCGGAAUCAAUGGCGUGCUGUAAUCCGUGACGUCCUGCCCCUGGUCUUCACAAUGCAACAGUCACUGCCUUAUGGACGUUGACAUUUACGAAGAUUAAGUCCAAGUGCCUUGGAGAGUAGCUUGACUCCUCUUCUUUGUAGCAGCCCCUGAGGAUAUUGAAGACUGCUAUCAUGUCUCCCUAGUCUGCGAUGACCCGGAACUGAGCACGGAAACAACACAGCCAGAAUGAAGACUUAACUCUCCUUUAUAGUUCCAACUGCCCCCCCCCCCCAAGCCCCACCGUUCACUGCAAAUCCGAGAGCAAAUUUCUAAUAGUUCCUGGCUGCUAUUAGUUCAGAGGAGCAGCUCAGUUCUGAGAGCAGCCCCAGUUCAGUGUCGUAUUUCCCAAGGAGUCCUCGUCACCAAAAGAAUUCACUGGUACCGCAGCAUCACCACCCAUAGUAACUGUAUCACUGCGACCUCACAGAUGGCCAGGCAGCAUGGCAGACAAGGCAGGCAAGCCCAGCAAAGUAUCCAGACGUUGGUACAGCCUGUGAGGAUGGAAAAAGCAGCGUUUGUUCCUGGCAAACAGCGUCACUUUAAACCUCGUUCCCCAGCAUUUCAACAUGAGGCCGGAGCAAGUUCUUAGUACUUCUCU